UUUUUUUUUUUUUUUUUCGAGAUGGAGUCUUAGCUCUGUUACCAGGCUGGAGUGCAAAGGAGACUCUGUCUCAAUAAAAAGAAGAGUUAGUCCCAUGGGUGACAUUCUGAACCUGAUGGUGACUCCCUAAGAGAUUUAGAACCAUUGGAAUAAAGUAGGUUCCUAUAUUAUUUAUGGGGCCUGGGCAAGAUGACAGAGACUCCCUCGUCUCUUCCCAUGCCUGGUGUUGGCCCAUACUUCAAGGUGUCUCACAUUCUAGCCUGCACAUCCAAGCUCAGUCUACAAAUCCCUUACACAAAAUCAGGGUCUAGCGUGUGUGUACAUCAGUCAGAGUCCACUCUCAUGAA
RNAcentral lists this long non-coding RNA (347 nucleotides) under Homo sapiens (human). RNAcentral's name for it is "non-protein coding lnc-KMT2B-1:1". The record is from RNAcentral. Lineage: Eukaryota; Metazoa; Chordata; Mammalia; Primates; Hominidae.